UUGACUUAUUUAUAAGUUGUACUCAGAGAUGACACUGGUAAACAAGAGUUUAGAGUUCCAUCGGCGGUCCGCGGGAGGCGGCUACAGGGUAGCUACCGCGCGGCCCACCGAGGCAACAGAGGUAAGUUCACAUGGGUUUGGGAGUUUUUUACGACUCUUUAAUGAUCCCUCCGCUGGUUCACCAACGGAGA
RNAcentral lists this unclassified non-coding RNA (191 nucleotides) under uncultured fungus. Its description in RNAcentral is "sequence contains ITS1". Lineage: Eukaryota; Fungi. The record is from RNAcentral.